This 399-nucleotide long non-coding RNA is filed under the name Pan troglodytes (chimpanzee). Its description in RNAcentral is "long non-coding RNA NONPTRT014393". The record is from RNAcentral. Lineage: Eukaryota; Metazoa; Chordata; Mammalia; Primates; Hominidae.
AGCAGGACCCGUGCUCUCAAAUUCCAUCUCGUACCAUCUGCCUAUGCCAUAGCAGGACCCGUGCCCUCAAAUUCCAUCUCGUACCAUCUGCCUGUGCCAUAGCAGGACCCGUGAUCUCAAAUUCCAUCUCGUACCAUCUGCCUGUGCCAUAGCAGGACCCGUGCCCUCCAAUUCCAUCUCGUACCAUCUGCCUGUGCCAUAGCAGGACCCGUGCCCUCAAAUUCCAUCUCGUACCAUCUGCCUGUGCCAUAGCAGGACCCAUGAUCUCAAAUUCCAUCUCGUACCAUCUGCCUGUGCCAUAGCAGGACCCGUGCCCUCAAAUUCCAUCUCGUACCAUCUGCCUGUGCCAUAGCAGGACCCAUGCUCUCAAAUUCCAUCUCGUACCAUCUGCCUGUGCCA